This 497-nucleotide ribosomal RNA is filed under the name uncultured bacterium. RNAcentral's name for it is "partial 16S ribosomal RNA". It matches the Rfam family "Bacterial small subunit ribosomal RNA", at positions 28 to 507 of the family's 1533-position model. The record is from RNAcentral.
GAUGAACGCUGGCGGCGUGCCUAAUACAUGCAAGUCGAGCGAACAGACGAGGAGCUUGCUCCUCUGACGUUAGCGGCGGACGGGUGAGUAACACGUGGAUAACCUACCUAUAAGACGGGGAUAACUUCGGGAAACCGGAGCUAAUACCGGAUAAUAUAUUGAACCGCAUGGUUCAAUAGUGAAAGACAGUUUUGGUGUCACUUAUAGAUGAAUCCGGGCCGGAUUGGCUAGUUGGUAAGGUAACGGCUUACCAAGGCGACGAUGCGUAGCCGACCUGAGAGGGUGAUCGGCCACACUGGAACUGAGACACGGUCCAGACUCCUACGGGAGGCAGCAGUAGGGAAUCUUCCGCAAUGGGCGAAAGCCUGACGGAGCAACGCCGCGUGAGUGAUGAAGGUCUUCGGAUCGUAAAACUCUGUUAUUAGGGAAGAACAAAUGUGUAAGUAACUAUGCACGUCUUGACGGUACCUAAUCAGAAAGCCACGGCUAACUACGUG